GACGAACGCUGGCGGCGUGCUUAACACAUGCAAGUCGAACGGAAAGGCCCUGCUUUUGUGGGGUGCUCGAGUGGCGAACGGGUGAGUAACGCGUGAGUAACCUGCCCUUGACUUUGGAAUAACUUCAGGAAACUGGGGCUAAUACCGGAUAGGAGCUCCUGCUGCAUGGUGGGGGUUGGAAAGUUUCGGCGGUUGGGGAUGGACUCGCGGCUUAUCAGCUUGUUGGUGGGGUAGUGGCUUACCAAGGCUUUGACGGGUAGCCGGCCUGAGAGGGUGACCGGCCACAUUGGGACUGAGAUACGGCCCAGACUCCUACGGGAGGCAGCAGUGGGGAAUAUUGCACAAUGGGCGGAAGCCUGAUGCAGCAACGCCGCGUGCGGGAUGACGGCCUUCGGGUUGUAAACCGCUUUCGCCUGUGACGAAGCGUGAGUGACGGUAAUGGGUAAAGAAGCACCGGCUAACUACGUG
RNAcentral lists this ribosomal RNA (468 nucleotides) under uncultured bacterium. Its description in RNAcentral is "partial 16S ribosomal RNA". It matches the Rfam family "Bacterial small subunit ribosomal RNA", at positions 28 to 507 of the family's 1533-position model. The record is from RNAcentral.